GAUGAACGCUGGCGGCGUGCCUAAUACAUGCAAGUCGAGCGAACGGACGAGAAGCUUGCUUCUCUGAUGUUAGCGGCGGACGGGUGAGUAACACGUGGAUAACCUACCUAUAAGACUGGGAUAACUUCGGGAAACCGUAGCUAAUACCGGAUAAUAUUUUGAACCGCAUGGUUCAAAAGUGAAAGACGGUCUUGCUGUCACUUAUAGAUGGAUCCGCGCGGCAUUAGCUAGUUGGUAAGGUAACGGCUUACCAAGGCAACGAUGCAUAGCCGACCUGAGAGGGUGAUCGGCCACACUGGAACUGAGACACGGUCCAGACUCCUACAGGAGGCGGCAGUAGGGAAUCUUCCGCAAUGAGCGAAAGCCUGACGGAGCAACGCCGCGUGAGUGAUGAAGGUCUUCGGAUCGUAAAACUCUGUUAUUAGGGAAGAACAUAUGUGUAAGUAACUGUGCACAUCUUGACGGUACCUAAUCAGAAAGCCACGGCUAACUACGUG
Molecule: ribosomal RNA, 497 nt
Filed under: uncultured bacterium
Lineage: Bacteria
Description: partial 16S ribosomal RNA
Rfam family: Bacterial small subunit ribosomal RNA
Source: RNAcentral